This 509-nucleotide ribosomal RNA is filed under the name uncultured bacterium. RNAcentral describes it as "bacterial SSU rRNA". It matches the Rfam family "Bacterial small subunit ribosomal RNA", at positions 28 to 514 of the family's 1533-position model. The record is from RNAcentral.
GAUGAACGCUGGCGGCAUGCCUAAUACAUGCAAGUCGAACGAAGUCUUUAGGAAGCUUGCUUCCAAAGAGACUUAGUGGCGAACGGGUGAGUAACACGUAGGUAACCUGCCCAUGUGCCCGGGAUAACUGCUGGAAACGGUAGCUAAAACCGGAUAGGUAUGAGGGAGGCAUCUUCCUCAUAUUAAAGCACCUUCGGGUGUGAACAUGGAUGGACCUGCGGCGCAUUAGCUGGUUGGUGAGGUAACGGCCCACCAAGGCGAUGAUGCGUAGCCGACCUGAGAGGGUGAACGGCCACAUUGGGACUGAGACACGGCCCAAACUCCUACGGGAGGCAGCAGUAGGGAAUUUUCGUCAAUGGGGGGAACCCUGAACGAGCAAUGCCGCGUGUGUGAAGAAGGUCUUCGGAUCGUAAAGCACUGUUGUAAGUGAAGAAGGAUAGGAGCAGUAACUGGUCUUUAUUUGACGGUAAUCAACCAAGAAAAAGUCACGGCUAACUACGUGCCAGCAG